GGCGGGGGACCCCUCUCGGGGGGUCCUCUUUUCCCCUUCGAGCCCCGGCGGUCUUCGGUCCUGUCGCCCGACCGUGGUGACACGAGACCUGUGUGGGUCUCACCGCCUCCUCCGGCAACGGCCUUCGGGCGCGUGUGCGUGUGGCGCGGGUCUUUGGAGACNCGGUCCGUUUUCUCGAACCGGUGGUCUGGCGCAGGGGUCGCUACCCGGUGGCCAGUUCCGCCGCUAGGGAUCGGUCGCGUCCUUUUAUGUAUUUGUGGAAGCCCGCCGGAGAUGCUGGCGGUCUGCGGCGAGUAGGUCGGUCACCCACCCGACCCGUCUUGAAACACGGACCAAGGAGUCUAACAUGUAUGCGAGUCAAUGGGACUCGACUAAGCCCACAGGCGCAAUGAAAGCAAUUUUUGGUUGGGAUCCCUGCCCCGAAUAGAUGGGCGGGGCGCACCAACGACCCGCCCUACCCAAGGGACCCCCAAUGAAUGUAUUGGCAAGGGGGUCUCUGGGCGGAGUCUGAGCAUACACGUUGGUACCCGAAAGAUGGUGAACUAUGCCCGGGCAGGACGAAGUCAGAGGAAA
This 573-nucleotide ribosomal RNA is filed under the name Pimoa cthulhu. RNAcentral describes it as "partial large subunit ribosomal RNA". It matches the Rfam family "Eukaryotic large subunit ribosomal RNA", at positions 422 to 861 of the family's 3401-position model. The record is from RNAcentral. Lineage: Eukaryota; Metazoa; Arthropoda; Arachnida; Araneae; Pimoidae.